CAUGAGUUUGAGUGAACUCCGGGAGUUGGUAAUGGACAGGGAGGCCUGGUGUGCUUCGAUUCAUGGGGUCGCAAAGAGUCGGGCACGACUGAGCGACUGAACUGAACUGAACUGAACAGAACACUUACUAAGGAAACAAUCCUCAUUAGAACCACAGAAUGUCCAGGGCAAGCCUUGAAGGGACUUGCCUUAUUUUGUGAAUGAGUAAGCUGAGGUCCAGAGAAGUUAAAUGACUUGUCCAAAAUCAAACAGCCGGGCAGUGGCAGAGAGAACUAAGGUGCAAGCAGCUCUGCUCCAGCACAGUGUUCUCUCCAGCUCUGUGCUGCCUGGCCAGUUAAGAGCAAUAAAAACCAAUGAAUAACAAGCUUUUAAAUUAUAUUCCACAGGCUAUGUUAGUGCUGCUUUUUUGAGUGAGGGCAGAGAGAACUGGAGGGGCUUCCCUGGUGGCUCAAAUGGUAAAGAAUCUGCCUGCAAUGUGGGAGACUCAGGUUUGAACCCUGGGUUGGGAAGAUCCCCUGGAGGAGGAAAUGGCAACCCACUCCAGUAUUCUUGCCUAGAGAAUUCCACAGACAGAGGAGCCUGGGGGGCUAUAGUCCAUGGGGUCGCACAGAGUCAGACACGACUGAGUGACUUAGCGCACACACACAAACUGGAGUUGAAAGAGUCUGGAAAGGCUUUAGGCAGAAAUGGGAUUUGAACUUGAACUUCAUCUUGAAGGUAAGGCAAAGUGUGGUGAGAAAGAAGCUCAGAGCCAGAAAGGAUUCAAGGACAGCUAGGGGAAGACCCCCAAGGCUGGAAGGAGCCUGAUAGCAGAGGGAGGGCAGCAGCUAAGUAAGGGCAGAUUGUAAGAGAAGACUGGAAAGCAUAGCCAGGGGGCUUUUUGGAAGGGUCCAAGUCCCAGGCUAGACUCAAUCCUGCCUGUGGCCCUGGCAUUGGAGGAUUACUGGAAAAUUUUGAGACCAGGCAUAAUUGCUGAGAACUUGGUUUGGGAAAGAAACAGAUAAAGUGCAGGAAAGAGGCCAGCCAGGAACUGUGGCACUCAUUUAGGCAUCGAGCUAGCCCCAGGGUGGAUUAUAUGGGGAUGUUCAUAUUCAAGGAUAUGACAAGGGACAUAGCUGGAAGAGCAGGUAAGAGGGCUCCAUCUCAGGGGCGUCAUUGUGGCUGAGUAGGGACAGGAUGCUGAAGAGGUCUGGACUGAAUGCCACCUUCAGCCCUUGGGAAAGCAGGAGAAUUAGUGAAGGGAGGCAAUAACACCAUGAAAGCCAGCAGCGUGUUUUGAGAUGCUGAACAGGGAGAGGUCAGCCUGUCAAAUUCUCCAGGCUGGGUAGCUAGUUUGUGGUUGCCAUGGUGGAGACGUUAACCCAGCCAAGCUCCUUGCCCUGUCUCAGAGUUCCCCACAAUACCAGCCUCCCUUCCCCUUCCCAUCCCAAGACAUAGUGGGUUUUCUUUGAUGGAGAAAUGAUCAAGAAAUGAUGGCUUGUGGAGAAGGAUCCUCCAGGAAGCCAGCAACCUGCUAAGGAGCUGAUGCCUGAGGAGGAGUGUGUGAAAGAGAAAGCAGAGAAGAAAAGACUCUGGAAGAAGCGUCAAAAGGAUCAGAAGCGAAGAGAGCACUUGGAGAAGGAUGGCAGGGAGUCCAACACGAAUGUCUGCAGGCAGAUCCCAAGAGCACCAAGUGCCAGGAGGUUGGAGAUUGACCCCUCAAUGCCCACAGAGAAAAGGGACUAAGUCAUUAGCCCCAAGGCAGAAGCCUGGGUCUCCAAGAAAAGAUGAACUGGGAGGAAGGAAGUACUCCAAAAGAAGAGAGCCCCAGGCAGUCAUAAGGCAGAGGUUAUCUCCAGGACUGCUGGCAGCUGCCUUACAACAGAGCCAGGAGCUGGCAAGUUAUUUGGAAAUUGCUCAUUCUGCAAUGAACUGCUGGGUCAGCUGGUGUGAGCCCUGACUGAUGUAGCCCCUGGGGCCUCUUCCGCCUGGGCAAGGCCUUGAUGGGACUGCAGCAUUUUGAAGAGGCAGUGGUGUGUUCUGGAGACUCUGAGAGGCGGGUCCCAGCCUGACGCAGUCUGGGAGCUAACAUUCCUGCCUCCUGCAAGUCACCCUGGUAAGGGGAUCAGGCCCGCUCUUAUGCCGAGAGGGCCACAGAGAGAACUGGCCGAGAUUGCAAUCACAAGUGCUGCUGCUUUCUGCCUCAGACAGGUAAGGGGUACAGGAUGCAUAGGAUAAGGGGGGCAUGGGCAGCCCUGCUGGAAGGUGUCCGGUGGCCCCCCUCUCCUUCCUCAGCAGUACCAGUGAAGAGGAAUCUCUGGGCUGCCUCUGUCAACUGAAUUUCUCCAUCCAUUUUUCCAUGUUGAGCUGGGGCCUUUAAGCCUCUUCUCCUGCAGUUGCCCUGGAAGUACUGCCUCAAGGGCCCCUGGCCUUCUAUCUCCACCCUUGCAUCAUCCCCAACCUGAGCCAAUCUGGUCCUUCCCCCAGACUCAGAGCAGAAGACCCGGUCCUCUCCACCUCCAGGACUCCUCAGAGGGCUGGGGCAUCCUGGAACUUGGGCCCCAGCAUCUACCUCACACCAGAUGAAGGAGAACCUGUCCCUGAUAAGGCCGGGCCGUGUGUGCAUCCCACAGGGAUAAAGGACACAGUGUAGGAGCAGUUCACUGCACGUUGUGAGACCUGUACUCUAAAACCAUGGAUGGGAACAGCCCUGGCAGUCAUACCUCUUGACACAGAGACAGUCAUACCUCUUGAGUGGAUGCAGGGCUCCUUUCUCUCAUCAGAGAAAGCUGAAAUAGCCUUUCUUUGGUUCUUAAGCAGAUGGCUUCUGGGAGCAGUAAGGAAAAAUAGAAUCCCCCAAGGCUCAAGAAGAGAUCUAUACAAAAAUUCAGAUUCUCAGACUAUAACAGACCUGUCUGUAGGGGCAUCUGAAGCUUGCUCUUGGUCUUGGGGAACUCACCAGCCAGAGCUCUGUGCUCAGGAAUGGGGUCACAGUGAUGAAUAAGGCCUAAGUCUUGAUCUGCAGCUUGAUGGAAGCCCACUUCUUCCUAAUCCCAGUUCUCACCCUGUCCUCUCCAGCCUCAGUUCUCAUGCCUUGCUUCCUGUCCACACUUCUACGCAUAUUCUGACCUCUCCUUUGUCCAGUGGUUCUGAUGCUCACCUCCUUCCACUGCUAGAAGAUUCACCAAGGGUAUGCAUUUGGGAAGCCCCUUACCAGCCCCUUCCUGGAGCUGGCAGAAUCCAUACAUCUCCAUAUACCCCACCUGCUGGCUCUCACACUGAUGGAGCCUCAGCAGAUACACAGGCUUCUGCUCAUUUGGUCUUACUUUUUCUCCACUCCAGCACUGGGCAUUGUAACUAGCAUUUCCCCCAUGUGAAUUUACUUAGUUUUUCUACCCAAGAUCACUGCCCCUAAAAAACACUAAAAUUCUCUAAUUUCUCUAUAAGAAACACGACCUCCUUCUAGUUUUUCCUCUAAGAUCUUGACAGCUCCUCCUGGCUGGUUCCUCCCUGACUCUGCUUGGGACUCUCAGUUCAUUAAAAUGUGGAUCUGCAGGCCUCCCGGAAUGCUUUUCUUUGGAGAACAGUUUAUCAGGAUAAAUGACUCUUGCUGCCCUAUGGGUCUUACUCAACACCAUUUGUACCUAGAGAUAGGCGGCGCUGAGACACCUCCUUUGUUUAAGGCUUUCCCAGGUUCUUUUGUUUACGGUUGCAGGCCUGUUAAAUACUGUAUGGCGGAAUGCAGGCUGGCAUUACAAGUUGUGUCGCCUUGGGCAGAUUUCUUAACACCUGUGCGUCAGUUUCCUCUUCUGUACAAUGUGGGUGAUCCCUACCUCACAGGGCUGCUAUGAGGGCUGAAAGAGAAAGUGUGAGAAAAUACCUACCAAAAGUCUGGGACAUAGUGAGUGUUCAAUAAACUGAUUUUUAUCUGAA
Molecule: RNA transcript, 3912 nt
Organism: Bubalus bubalis (water buffalo)
Lineage: Eukaryota; Metazoa; Chordata; Mammalia; Artiodactyla; Bovidae
Gene: TTC31
Gene name: tetratricopeptide repeat domain 31
Exons: 6
Source: RefSeq, a predicted model, not a curated record